GUACACUCCUGCGGGAGGCAGCAGUGGGGAAUAUUGCACAAUGGGCGCAAGCCUGAUGCAGCCAUGCCGCGUGUAUGAAGAAGGCCUUCGGGUUGUAAAGUACUUUCAGCGGGGAGGAAGGUGUUGAGGUUAAUAACCUCAGCAAUUGACGUUACCCGCAGAAGAAGCACCGGCUAACUCCGUGCCAGCAGCCGCGGUAAUACGGAGGGUGCAAGCGUUAAUCGGAAUUACUGGGCGUAAAGCGCACGCAGGCGGUCUGUCAAGUCGGAUGUGAAAUCCCCGGGCUCAACCUGGGAACUGCAUUCGAAACUGGCAGGCUAGAGUCUUGUAGAGGGGGGUAGAAUUCCAGGUGUAGCGGUGAAAUGCGUAGAGAUCUGGAGGAAUACCGGUGGCGAAGGCAGCCCCCUGGACAAAGACUGACGCUCAGGUGCGAAAGCGUGGGGAGCAAACAGGAUUAGAUACCCCUGUAGUCCCA
This 475-nucleotide ribosomal RNA is filed under the name uncultured organism. RNAcentral describes it as "partial 16S ribosomal RNA". It matches the Rfam family "Bacterial small subunit ribosomal RNA", at positions 331 to 797 of the family's 1533-position model. The record is from RNAcentral.